CAGUCGCCGCGGUAAUACGAAGGGGGCUAGCGUUGUUCGGAAUCACUGGGCGUAAAGGGUGCGUAGGAGGGAUCUUAAGUCAGGGGUGAAAUCCCGAGGCUCAACCUCGGAACUGCCUUUGAUACUGGGGUCCUUGAGUCCGGAAGAGGUGAGUGGAACUGCGAGUGUAGAGGUGAAAUUCGUAGAUAUUCGCAAGAACACCGGUGGCGAAGGCGGCUCACUGGUCCGGAACUGACGCUGAGGCACGACAGCGUGGGGAGCAAACAGGAUUAGAUACCCCUGUAGUCCCUGUCUCUUAUAC
This 301-nucleotide ribosomal RNA is filed under the name uncultured bacterium. RNAcentral describes it as "partial 16S ribosomal RNA". It matches the Rfam family "Bacterial small subunit ribosomal RNA", at positions 509 to 807 of the family's 1533-position model. The record is from RNAcentral.